UGGGGAAUUUUGGACAAUGGGGGCAACCCUGAUCCAGCAAUGCCGCGUGUGUGAAGAAGGCCUUUGGGUUGUAAAGCACUUUUGUCCGGGAAGAAAUCGCACCUGAUAAUACCGGGUGUGGAUGACGGUACCGGAAGAAUAAGGACCGGCUAACUAUGUGCCAGCAGCCGCGGUAAUACGUAGGGUGCAAGCGUUAAUCGGAAUUACUGGGCGUAAAGCGUGCGCAGGCGGUUGUGCAAGACCGAUGUGAAAUCCCCGGGCUUAACCUGGGAAUUGCAUUGGUGACUGCACGGCUAGAGUGUGUCAGAGGGGGGUAGAAUUCCACGUGUAGCAGUGAAAUGCGUAGAGAUGUGGAGGAAUACCGAUGGCGAAGGCAGCCCCCUGGGAUAACACUGACGCUCAUGCACGAAAGCGUGGGGAGCAAACAGG
Molecule: ribosomal RNA, 429 nt
Filed under: Bacillota bacterium
Lineage: Bacteria; Bacillati; Bacillota
Description: Firmicutes bacterium partial 16S ribosomal RNA
Rfam family: Bacterial small subunit ribosomal RNA
Source: RNAcentral